ACUCAACACUUAUAAUUUAAAAAGGGUUAAGUUUUGGUUGUAAAAGCAAGCUGCCACGUUUUGUGAAGCAGAUCCUUGAUCAGUCAGACAGCCCUAAACCUGUUUUAACGGAGUUU
Small RNA from Psychroflexus salarius, 116 nucleotides. It matches the Rfam family "6S-Flavo RNA". NCBI's taxonomy places the organism in Bacteria, Pseudomonadati, Bacteroidota, Flavobacteriia, Flavobacteriales, Flavobacteriaceae. The record is from Rfam.